GGGGCAGGGAUUGGGGCUUAGAGGGUGGGGGGAGGUGUUAAGAGCACACACCUGGAGCCAGGCUGCUGAAGUGAGGCUCCGAGCCACUAACUAGCUGGAUGACCUUGCGGGGUCAUAGUGAGAACUAAAUGAGACAUGUGAGAAAAGCUCUCAGGACACUGCCUGCUGCACGGCAGGUGCUAUGUGUGGUGCUGUUAUCAGUCUCACGCUACCACACAGCCGCAGAGGCAACGUUGAGGGAGAAGCCCAUGAUCCAGACCUAGCAGUUUGCCCGGGACGUUUAAAACACUUGCAAGAGGAGACCAUUCCUGAAGUUGGCUGCAAACCCCCUGCUUCAUCUGUUACCAGGUUUAACCCCUCAAUAGCCGAAUCGCUGGAUGAAGUGUCAUCACUUACAACUGUAACAGAGUGGUCAAAGAGAGUGAUGUUUUCUUUAGUCUGAGCUGGGAUUGGAGGGAGAAAAGAGCUUUAAGAAAAACGAUUCCAGAGAUCAGCUAAAGGAAUUGGUGUCUUUGAGAAUCCUAUGCCUUGCUUCCAGGUAAAAUAAGCCCUCCAGUACACAGCUGUAUAUUCUAGUUAUAGGUCCUUCUGGCUCUGCUAUGUGGGACGCUGCCUCAGCAUGGCCUGAUGAGUGGUACUACGUCCAUGCCCAGGAUCCAAACCUGGGUGGCCAAAACAGAGCACACAAACUUAACCACUUGGCCACAGGGCUGGCCCCUCUUAAUUCUUUUUUUACCUGCAAAGUUAAAACUUGAGUAACUUGCAACACCCUAACGCUAAUAAAUCUGCCACUUUGCCUACUAUUCGAUGUCCUCCAGUUUUCUUUCUCCCCAGUCCCAACACAUGCUGGAAAUGAUUGCAGAAGACGUG
Molecule: long non-coding RNA, 870 nt
Filed under: Equus caballus (horse)
Lineage: Eukaryota; Metazoa; Chordata; Mammalia; Perissodactyla; Equidae
Description: lncRNA (ENSECAG00000048626.1)
Source: RNAcentral